Antechinus flavipes (yellow-footed antechinus) is the source of this 1406-nucleotide long non-coding RNA. RefSeq lists it as uncharacterized. The transcript is spliced from 3 exons. NCBI's taxonomy places the organism in Eukaryota, Metazoa, Chordata, Mammalia, Dasyuromorphia, Dasyuridae. The record is from RefSeq and is a predicted model, not a curated record.
GGACUGGAAGGAUUCCCCAGGGCACUCUGGGCAGCAUCAAGUAUUCUGAGAUGAAUAGACACACACCAAGAGAAAGAGAAGAUGUCUCAAAGUUUCAGGUACUUGAGGUAAUCCCUACCAGAAAGGGAAUUCAAGCCAGAGUGACCUUGAAGCUAGGAUUGCAGAAAUGAUGUUGUAGCCAGCCACCUCAAAAGGAAACCCCAAAGAAUCCAGGGGUGCUUUUUCCCUUCUAGCAUCUUGCUUCCCACCUACCACUCCCUCCUUAGUCACUCCAAGAACAUCUCCAUUUGAUUCAUGGGGAGCCUUGUUUGUGUUGGACUCUGUUGCUUUCUGAUGUUUACCUGCUCCAGGCAGCACCACCUGGUUAGAGUUCUUCAUUCUGAGGAUGCUGUUCAUCUCCCAUUUCCCAUUCAAGGAGCCCUGGCAGAUGUUUCUGCUGGGUGACCAUGUGUGGUUACUGCAGAGAUUCAAUCAGGAUAAAACUAUGUCACAUUACAUAUACCAAUCCUCAUAGCUCUAAAGCCAGACUGACUAAGGGAAUCUUGAAAUUAAUAUCUCCAACAAAAAAGAAUGUGAGUUGAUUUGAGGAAUUUCUAUUUCUUCCAUUCCCCUUGUAUCAUUAUUUUCUUUCUUAUUUUUACAAUCUAGUGUUAAAAGGAAAAUUCCAUGUUUGGGCCCUCAUCCCAAUUGAAUUGGCAAACUCAGGAAGAAAAAAAUAAAAAAGAAGUUUAUUAAAAUCACUAAGGCAGAAAUGUGUUGGUAGGCUGGCUGCUGGGGCCAACACUGGAUUCAAUUUAGGAACUGCUUUUGAAGACAAUUUUUUGUAACAAGAGCAAAACAACCCUGAUAGGUAUAGGUCUCCAAUUGGGGAUGGGCCAUUGCAUCUCAGCUCCUUCCCCAUUGCCCUCAUAUGGAGAGUGGUUUGAAAUUACAAAUGACAAUCUUUGACUGCUAGAUUACUACAAAGGAUGAAGGGAUGGGAUUAAAAGUAUUUGCUGAAGACUGCUUGACAAUAACUGAUUAGCAUACAUGGGAAUCUUUAAACAAGACUAGAAACAAUAGGGUCCCUAGGAUUGAUUCAGAAAAAAUUUCAAUACAAAAUGGUAUUCAACUCCAGAUAACAAUUUUCAGUUUAGAAAAUGCUUUCUUUACAAUAAACCUUUCAUUUGUGUAUUGGGAGUAUCAGUGUUAUUAUUUACUUAUGGGAAAACUGAGAAUCAAAAUGUUUAAUGGUCUUUGAUCAUUCUGCCUUUUAUAGUAUUCAGAAAACUUCUAAUUUGUAGAUUAUAGAUCCCAGAUUUAAUACUAUCAGAUACAGUUUGAGACAUUGUUUGAUAUCUAUGAACUGCCUUGAAACUCCUACUUGUUUUUAGAAAGCUUAGUAGUCAUGAAAAAUCCAUAUUAAG